UGCCCUCGUCAUCCAUUAAUGGAUCAGAAAAGAGAUCAUGUGAGGAAGGAAUCCCUUUAAUGAAAAUUGAAGCACAAGGAUUUCAGAGCAGAAAAAGGGCAGUUACAAUUUAGUAACAGUAAGGCAAGUAUGCAAUGAACUUGUACGGUUAGGUUGACUUAGUCCACAACAUAACAAAAAAACAAAGAGAAUCCAGCAUUAAUUACAUGUCUCAUAUGGC
RNAcentral lists this long non-coding RNA (220 nucleotides) under Sorghum bicolor (sorghum). Its description in RNAcentral is "long non-coding RNA (SBIC_LNC016233)". Lineage: Eukaryota; Viridiplantae; Streptophyta; Magnoliopsida; Poales; Poaceae. The record is from RNAcentral.